UACGUAGGUGACCAGCGUUGUCCGGAUUUACUGGGCGUAAAGAGCGCGCAGGCGGUCGUUCAAGUCGAGUGUGAAAGCCCCCGGCCCAACUGGGGAGGGUCAUUCGAUACUGAUCGACUGGAAGGCAGGAGAGGGAAGCGGAAUUCCCGGUGUAGUGGUGAAAUGCGUAGAUAUCGAGAGGAACACCAGUGGCGAAGGCGAGUCUCUGGACGACUCCUGACACUGAGGCACGAAAGCUAGGGGAGCAAACAGG
RNAcentral lists this ribosomal RNA (253 nucleotides) under uncultured bacterium. RNAcentral's name for it is "partial 16S ribosomal RNA". It matches the Rfam family "Bacterial small subunit ribosomal RNA", at positions 524 to 776 of the family's 1533-position model. The record is from RNAcentral.